GCCAGGGUAGCUCAGUUGGUAGAGCAACAGUUUUGUAAACUGUGGGUCAGGAGUCCGAGUCUCCUCCCUGGCU
RNAcentral lists this transfer RNA (73 nucleotides) under Parcubacteria group bacterium CG_4_9_14_0_2_um_filter_35_11. Its description in RNAcentral is "tRNA-Thr". It matches the Rfam family "tRNA". Rfam says of the family: Transfer RNA (tRNA) molecules are approximately 80 nucleotides in length. Their secondary structure includes four short double-helical elements and three loops (D, anti-codon, and T loops). The record is from RNAcentral. RNAcentral also lists the same sequence under 1 other name.